GGUGGCGAAGGCGGCCCCCUGGACGAAGACUGACGCUCAGGUGCGAAAGCGUGGGGAGCAAACAGGAUUAGAUACCCUGGUAGUCCACGCUGUAAACGAUGUCGAUUUGGAGGUUGUGCCCNUGAGGCGUGGCUUCCGGAGCUAACGCGUUAAAUCGACCGCCUGGGGAGUACGGCCGCAAGGUUAAAACUCAAAUGAAUUGACGGGGGCCCGCACAAGCGGUGGAGCAUGUGGUUUAAUUCGAUGCAACGCGAAGAACCUUACCUACUCUUGACAUCCAGAGAACUUAGCAGAGAUGCUUUGGUGCCUUCGGGAACUCUGAGACAGGUGCUGCAUGGCUGUCGUCAGCUCGUGUUGUGAAAUGUUGGGUUAAGUCCCGCAACGAGCGCAACCCUUAUCCUUUGUUGCCAGCGGUUCGGCCGGGAACUCAAAGGAGACUGCCAGUGAUAAACUGGAGGAAGGUGGGGAUGACGUCAAAUCAUCAUGGCCCUUACGAGUAGGGCUACACACGUGCUACAAUGGCGUAUACAAAGAGAAGCGACCUCGCGAGAGCAAGCGGACCUCAUAAAGUACGUCGUAGUCCGGAUUGGAGUCUGCAACUCGACUCCAUGAAGUCGGAAUCGCUAGUAAUCGUAGAUCAAAAUGCUACGGUGAAUACGUUCCCGGGCCUUGUACACACCGCCCGUCACACCAUGGGAGUGGGUUGCAAAAGAAGUAGGUAGCUUAACCUUCGGGAGGGCGCUUACCACUUUGUGAUUCAUGACUGGGGUGAAGUCGUAACAAGGUAACCGUAAAUCGAAUUCC
RNAcentral lists this ribosomal RNA (804 nucleotides) under uncultured Serratia sp. RNAcentral's name for it is "bacterial SSU rRNA". It matches the Rfam family "Bacterial small subunit ribosomal RNA", at positions 711 to 1515 of the family's 1533-position model. The record is from RNAcentral. Lineage: Bacteria; Pseudomonadati; Pseudomonadota; Gammaproteobacteria; Enterobacterales; Yersiniaceae.